This 1452-nucleotide ribosomal RNA is filed under the name Bacillus sp. AUSH4. RNAcentral describes it as "partial 16S ribosomal RNA". It matches the Rfam family "Bacterial small subunit ribosomal RNA". Lineage: Bacteria; Bacillati; Bacillota; Bacilli; Caryophanales; Bacillaceae. The record is from RNAcentral.
UGCAAGUCGAGACGGGAGACAACCAGUAGCCUUGCCUCCCUGUAUGCUUAGCGAGGCGGGGACGGACUGUAGAUAACACGCUGCUGGUAACCCUGCCCUGCUAUGGACGUGGGGAUAACCUCCGGGAAACCGCGGCUAAUACCGGAUGCUUGCUUUGAACCGAAUGGUUGGACUUAAAAGGUGGCUUCGGCUACGACUUACAGAUGAACCCGUAGCUCGUUAGCUAGUUGGUGAGUUAAUGGCUCACCAAUGCAACGAUGGAUAGCCAACCUGAUCGGGCGAUCGGUCACACUGGGACUGAAACACGGCCCAAACUCCUACGGGAGGCAGCAGUAGGGAAUCUUCCGCAAUGGACGAACCUCUGACGGAGCGUCACCGCGGGAGUGAUGAAGGUUUUCGGAUCCUAACGCUCUGUUGUUAGGGAAGAACAAGUGCCCUUCCAAUAAGGCGGCUCCUUGACGGAACCUAACCAGAAUGCCUCCGUUAACUACGUGCCAGCAGCCGGGGGAAUGCGUACGUGGCAAGCAUUGUCCGGAAUUAUUGCGCGUAAAGGGCUCUCAGGCGGUUUCUUAAGUCUGAUGUGAAACCCCCCGGCUCAACCGGGAAGGGUCAUUGUAAACUGGGGAACUUGAAGGCAGAAAAAAAUAGUGGAAUUCCACGUGUAUCGGUAAAAUGCGUAAAGAUGAGGAGGAACACCGGCGGCUAAGGCGACUCUCUGGUCUGUAACUGACGCUGAGGAGCGAAAGCGUGGGGAGCGAACAGGAUUAGAUUCCCUGGUAGUUCCCGCCGUAAACGAUGAGUUCUAAGUGUUUGGGGGUUUCCGCCCCUUAGUGCUGCAGUUAACCCAUUAAGCACUCCCCCUGGGGAGUACGGUCCCAAGUUUGAAAUUCAAAGGAAUUGACGGGGGCCCCCCCAAGCGGUGGACCAUGUGGUUUAAUUGGAAGCAACGGGAAGACCCUUCCCAAGUUUUGACAUCCUAUGACUCCCCUAGAGAUAGGGCUUCCCCUUCGGGGGUAGAGUGCCAGGUGGUCCAUGGUUUUCUUCAGUUCGUGUCGUGAAAUGUUGGGUUAAUUCCCGCAACGAGGCCAACCCUUUAUUUUAGUUGCCACCAUUCAGUUGGGCACUUUUAGGGGGCUUCCGGGGACAAACCCGAGGAAAGUGGGGAAGACGUCCAAUUCUCCUUCCCCUUAUGGCCUGGGGUUCCCCCGUGGUUCCAAGGGCAGAUCCAAGGGCAGGGAGACCGGGAGGUUAAACCAAUUCCCCAAAUCUGUUUUCAAUUCGGAUUGCAGUUUGCAAAUUGGAUUCCAGAAACUGGAAUUGGUUGUUAUUGGGGAUUAGCAAUCCGCGGGGAAUUCGUUUCCGGGCCUUGUUCCCCCCCCCCGUCACCCCCAGAGAAUUUGUAACCCCCGAAAUCGGUAGAGUACCUCUAGGACCAGUUUAUUAUGUUCACUU